Molecule: ribosomal RNA, 171 nt
Filed under: Triticum aestivum (bread wheat)
Lineage: Eukaryota; Viridiplantae; Streptophyta; Magnoliopsida; Poales; Poaceae
Description: partial small subunit ribosomal RNA
Source: RNAcentral
AUGGACUUAGAAUUCUUUUACGAUAAUGUGGGUAGCCGUGUCAAACCAGCUAGAGACCCAAACCGCAUUAGAGCUUUUCUUCAGACAUACAAGGAGAUUGAAAAUGCAGACACACACUUUCAACUUCAGGAAGAUCUCAUUGAGCACCAUUGGCAAAGGGCUGGACAGUGA